GAUCCUGGCUCAGGACGAACGCUGGCGGCGUGCCUAACACAUGCAAGUCGAGCGGAGACAGUGAGUAGCUUGCUAUGAGCUGUUUUAGCGGCGGACGGGUGAGUAACGCGUGAGCAACCUUUCCCAGACAGGGGAAUAACACACCGAAAGGUGUACUAAUACCGCAUAAGACCACGGAAUCACAUGGUUCUGGGGUAAAAGAAUUAUCGGUUUGGGGUGGGCUCGCGUCCGAUUAGGUAGUUGGUGAGGUACGG
RNAcentral lists this ribosomal RNA (254 nucleotides) under uncultured bacterium. RNAcentral describes it as "partial 16S ribosomal RNA". It matches the Rfam family "Bacterial small subunit ribosomal RNA", at positions 15 to 262 of the family's 1533-position model. The record is from RNAcentral.